UUUUGCAUAAUAACCGUUUGUUACUUUAUAAGCGGCUACACAUCAACAAUUCAUCGCACUCGGUGGUAUUUGUAAGGGCUCAGCAAGAGGAACCUGCUGCAACCUGCAAUGUGGCCUGCUUACGCCUGGCAUUGAUGGUAUGCCGUCGGAAGAAGGCCGGCCACACGGGGCCCGCGAGAGUCCGCUGUGAUGAUGGUGCACCCUCGCGAUACUAGCCAUUCCUGGCAAUGAUGAAACUCGCUCGAGAGAGUUUCAUCAUCAGUCAGAUGGCUUGAAAAAUGAUGUAUGCUGUUAGGAUACUUUAAAAGAUUUUAUUUUAUAAGAAGAUUAAAUGAAAAGGAUAUUGUGUUGAUUUAGUUAUAUGUGUGUUAAAUAAGUGUUUGGUCUCUUGAAAUAUCGUAGAAGUGGUUUCACGAAUGUAAUAAUAUAAGAUUAUAUACUUUAGUUGUGUGCA
This is a long non-coding RNA of Pieris brassicae (large cabbage white), 454 nucleotides long. RefSeq lists it as uncharacterized. The transcript is spliced from 4 exons. The record is from RefSeq and is a predicted model, not a curated record. Lineage: Eukaryota; Metazoa; Arthropoda; Insecta; Lepidoptera; Pieridae.